CAAGUUAGCCUUAGAGGGGUUAUUAUUUACAAUAAUAAUAUAAUUGUGCAAGUCAAUUUAACUUGA
This 66-nucleotide transfer RNA is filed under the name Myrmoplasta mira. RNAcentral's name for it is "tRNA-Val". Lineage: Eukaryota; Metazoa; Arthropoda; Insecta; Hemiptera; Pyrrhocoridae. The record is from RNAcentral.